RNAcentral lists this long non-coding RNA (2086 nucleotides) under Ananas comosus (pineapple). RNAcentral's name for it is "long non-coding RNA (ACOM_LNC028828)". The record is from RNAcentral. Lineage: Eukaryota; Viridiplantae; Streptophyta; Magnoliopsida; Poales; Bromeliaceae.
UUAGAAAUAAUGAAAAAAGUUGAUCCAAAAGCUAAAAAACUGAUAGCAACAAUGAGAUUUUGCUACUAAGAGUAGCCCAGUCCAACUCAUAUAUAUAUAUAUAUAUAUUGUGUGUGUGUGUGUGUGUGGUGGAAUAAGAAAUACAAAUAAUAUUUUAAAAAUAUUAAUACUUACAAACGUGAUUUUUUCGCUACAGCAGAUGUUUCAAUAGGCAAAUCACUAUCGUUGCUUGACAAAAUACUGCAAGUCAAUAAUUUUUUUUUUGAACAGGCAGAACAUUAAUUAUUAGAAUUUUUUUCCCACAGACAGAACAUUAAUUUAUAAUCAGUUCUUAACUUAGUUUAUUAAUCAUACCUUGAUUGACUUUCGGUAGGACUAUAUUCGCCAAUAGUAUUUUCCACUUGAGCACUAUUUUUAACAGGUAUAAUAAAUUGAUUUUCAGAAGUGACCGCACUGUUAAAUUCCUUUGCAAUAUGAUUAUUUUAAAUCUCCUGUUUUGAUUCCAAUUACACUAUGAAUUAUUUGUAAAUUGUCUUUUACUUUGCUAACUCCAAUAAAAAUAGUAUUUCACGUACAACAUAAACUUUUCUCUUACAAAAUUUUUCAUACUAUACAGCAUAUUCCUUGCCCUCUUGCUUUUUUUCUUAACUUUCGCUAUAUAUAGCAACAUUGUUUAACAUCAUACACAGGGUUCAUGAAACAAAAAAUUGCAUAGUACAUAAAAUAUUUUUGGUAUUUUUGCUAUCUUUCUUAUUAUUACAAUGCAUGCAUCUUCCCCUCAACUCUUUCUUCUCAUAGCCCAUGUGAGUCCAUGCAUGCAACUUGAACAUAGCCCAUGUGGGUCCAUGCAAGGGAGAGAGAACAUGUGAGGGAGAGAGAGAAAAUUCACCACGUGGCUCGACGGAGGAACGGUAUUUAGUUUCAACUUUAGUAUAGAGUUUAAUGAUUCUAAUAAUAAGAUUUGGAUAAGCAACUUUUUUGCAUUUGUAUUAAAAAUAUUUUUUUUUUUAAAAAAAAAAGGAAAAAUGUAUGGAAGACCCCUGAACUUCAUCUGUUUUGCAACCAGGUGCAUCAACUUUUAAUUUUCGCAAAGAGAGCCCUUAAACUUUAUCAAAUAGUUCAACUGGCUCAUCUUCUCAAAUAAACUUACUAAUUAUAGAACUGGUGUGGUCAAAUAUCGCGAACCUAAUUCUAUAAAGACAUAUAAAUAUUAAAAAAGUUUUUUUUUUUUUCUUUCAAUUUUGAUAGUUAAGUAUAACGAUGGNGGGGGGGAUACUUAUAAACGUGGUUUUUGCGCUACAGCAGAUGUUUCAAUAGGCAAAUCACUAUCGUUGCUUGACAAAAUACUGCAAGUCAAUAAUUUUUUUUUGAACAGGCAGAACAUUAAUUAUUAGAUUUUUUUUUCCCACAGACAGAACAUUAAUUUAUAAUCAGUUCUUAACUUAGUUUAUUAAUCAUACCUUGAUUGACUUUCGGUAGGACUAUAUUCGCCAAUAGUAUUUUCCACUUGAGCACUAUUUUUAACAGGUAUAAUAAAUUGAUUUUCAGAAGCGGCCGCACUGUUAAAUUCUUUUGCAAUAUGAUUAUUCUAAAUCUCCUGUUUUAAUUCCAAUUACACUAUGAAUUAUUUGUAAAUUGUCUUUUACUUUGCUAACUCCAAUAAAAAUAGUAUUUCACGCACAACAUAAACUUUUCUCUUACAAAAUUUUUCAUACUACACAGCAUAUUCCUUGCCCUCUUGCUUUUUUUCUUAACUUUCUCUAUAUAUAGCAACAUUGUUUAACAUCAUACACAAGGUUCAUGAAACAAAAAAUUGUACAGUACAUAAAUUAUUUUUGGUACUUUUGCUAUCUUUCUUAUUAUUACAAUGCAUGCAUCUUCCCCCCAACUCUUUCUUCUCAUAGCCCAUGUGAGUCCAUGCAUGCCACUUGAACAUAGCCCAUGUGGGUCCAUGCGAGGGAGAGAGAGAAAAUCCACCACGUGGCUCGACGGAGGAACGGUAUUUAGUUUCAACUUUAGUAUAGAGUUUAAUGAUUCUAAUAAUAAGAUUUGGAUAAGCAACUUUUUUGCAUUUGUAUUAAAAAUA